Etheostoma cragini (Arkansas darter) is the source of this 7249-nucleotide RNA transcript. It is a transcript of the gene named NLR family, CARD domain containing 5, with no coding region annotated. The transcript has 55 exons. NCBI's taxonomy places the organism in Eukaryota, Metazoa, Chordata, Actinopteri, Perciformes, Percidae. The record is from RefSeq and is a predicted model, not a curated record.
UCCAGGAGAACCACCUGACGGACAUGUCUCCUACCGAAAUGUCGCUCCCCACCAUAAUCCAUAAUUCUCAUUGAAAUAAACAGGCACGCCACCUCUCAUUCAAUCGCACCUGUCGGUCCCUACCAUGACUGUCUUGGCGCAAUUAACUGAAUCGCAGUUGUUGUGUAAAAACGAAACCAAAACAAAACCCUGUCCUUGGUUUCGUUUUAAAAUAAUAGAUACACUGGCUGCGUAGAGACGCAGGCUACGACAACAGACAUUGCUGAUGGAGUCUGACCAUGGAUGAGGAGGCUGAACCUGACAACCUUAAUGUGAACUCCGUCUUGGCUCAGGAAUCCUCAGAAAUGCUCCAAGUCCUAAGCAGUCAGUCACCCGCAAUCCUAACAAAGUUGUGCCAAAUAAUGCCCGGUGAUGCUCGUCGGAACAUCAAAAUGGACCCUAGUGGCUGUUCUUCAUCAGCAGUAACCAAACAUAUCAAAGCCAUGUUGGAGUACUUGAGGGUGGCCAACCAUGCAGAUUGCUGCAACUUCCUUCAGAGCAUGUGUAUCUUAUGUGAGGGCAUCCCCAUGCGCCUGGAGACGAGGCUUAUGUCAGUGGCUGGAUAUGCAAAUAAUGUUUCCGAAAAUUCCAGUCCCCAUGGAACGGAUGGGAAGUCAUCAGCGCCUUCAGAGCAGCAGCUCAUCAAACGUCCACGGAUUGACCACUGGGAGAAGUACAUUGCUGCAGUUAUGAGUUUACUGCGGAGGAGGUGGGAGCAACUCAGUGAGCACCUGGUAAGGGAGGUCCAGCCUGAGAAUGUGUGGGUCAGACUAAGAACAGCGAACAGAGGCAGGGACAGACCUGAUCAGACUCCUGGAUCGUCAGACAAAGGGGGCAGAACACAAGAGCCUGAUGGGGAUUAUGGGUACAUGGAUUCCAAAGUAACAUUGGAGACCUUCCUCCAGGGAUGUGCAGGGAAGGUGACAGUUCUCGUUGGCCAGGCCGGAUCUGGAAAAACUCUGCUGAUGUCUUGUUUAGGACAGCAGUGGGCACAUGGACUAGGCCCUAUCCCUUCAUCUUACCUGUUUGUCCUGCAAGAGUUUCGUCAGCUCAACAUACUAUCCCACCCUCUUUCCCUGUCUGAGCUGCUAUUCCGACACUACCUCCCGCUGGAAGGGGGCAACGAUGAAAAGAGAGCCAUUGUGGAUUACCUACUUUCCAAUCCAGAGCAAAGCUGUUGGGUGCUGGAUGGCUAUGAAGAGUUUUCCAGCAAACUCACCAGACAAGAGGUGCAGAGAGAGCUUUUGGACCCAGAACAGCCUCUGCCUGUUGCAGACCUCAUCUCAGGGCUGUUAAAUCGCCAUCUUCUUCCAGGAUGUACUGUGGUGGUCACCUGUUGUGCACGCGAUGUCAUGGAUUUUGAAGGCAUAUCGGAUAAAGUUGGGCAGUUGCAAGGGUGGGACUUCCACGAGAUCAAGGAGUAUGUGGGCAACUUCUUUCAAAUUAAAGGUCACUCAGCAAACAGAGCUAUUGGGGUGCAGGCUGCAGAUCUCCUUCUUACCAGUCGACACCUACUCGCCAUGUCAUCCCUCCCUGCACUCUGCAACAUAUGCUGCAUCUGUCUGGAGAAUUUACUGCUGAAAGGGGAAGACCAAAGAAGGACGCAGACACCGGAUGAAACAGGAAGUGAAAGAAGGAGAAAAGAAAAAGAAAAAGAAGAAAAAGUAGUACAUGCAGAAGGAGGAAGAAGAGAAGAGGGCAGUAUAGGAGGGAGUUAUGCACAAAGCAGAGAUCAACGGGGAGUGAAAACGAGGGGUGAAGACACAAUGAUGGACGACACAAAUGGUAGAGGCCAGAUACCCUCCACCCUCACCCAGGUCUACCUCACUAUUCUUGGUGCCUUCCUGAACCGUGACCCUAAUACAAAAGGAGGCACUGACGAGGCAAAAACCACACCACAAAGUUUUGUGUGUGAGCUGAGUCAGCUGGCCUGGAAAGGCUUAGAGGAAAGCAAGAUCCUCUUCAUGGAAGAAGACAUCUCUCAGGAUGUUUUGGAGUUUUCAGUCAGGACAGGGCUCCUCGCACAGGUGGAGCUCAGACGUGAGGAUGGGAUUCCUGUCAACUCCUACCGCUUCGUUCAUCUGACAAUACAGGAGUUUUUGGCUGCACUCAGAAUGAUGACCAGUGCUGAUGUUAGUGACAUGCAGCUCAAGAAGAGAUUCAGUCUGAGAACUCGCUGGACGACCAAGUCAGACCAGAGGACGAUCUUUACUGACUCCCUUCACCUGUAUGUAUGUGGUCUGGCUUCCCCCCACUGCACUGCAGCCUUGGUUCAAUUAGCCAGUACCUCUGGUGGAACAGGAGGCCAAAGUUGGGUCCAAAAACGACAAACCCUCGUUCUGAAACUACUAAAAAACCUGUGUCACAGCAAUACCCUAACUGGACCAAAGAUAUUGGAUCUAUGCCACUGUGUCCAGGAGAGCCAGGACAACCAACUAGCUAAGCUGGUUGUGGGUACGAGACCCACCCUGGAGCUGCGCAACAUCACGCUAUUACCGAAUGAUAUUGAUGCUCUGGCUUUUGUAGUUAACUCAGUAGGUGAUAAUGGCAUCGGAUUGGACUUCAGAGCAUGCUCAAUGGAGUUGGAGUGUUUAGAUGUCCUGCCCAGUUGUCAGUUCAUUCACUACCUCAGUUUUCGCAGCCGCAAGUAUGGCGACAAGUUUGCUGAGAAGUUGUCCUCCAUUCUGCCAAAAUUCACAACGCUGAAAAAACUAGAGUUUUGUGGCGCCAGUCUGACUACCACAGGAGCAGCUAGUUUGGCCUCCGCUCUACAGAACUGUCCAAACAUCACAGAAAUCAAUCUGAAUGACAACAAUCUCAAAGACGUCGGAAUCAAACACAUAGCUGAUCUUUUUGCCAAACCGUCAAGACUGGUCCUGGUAAGGCUGGGUCAAAACAGCAGCUCUCUGGAAGCAGUGGACUAUCUCAUUGGGAAAAUGUCUUCAUGCUUGAAAAUCCAGCACCUUCAUGCAGAUGGGAAGAAGGAAUUGACCAUAACUUUCUUCCAAAAUUCCGAUUUAAACCACCAUAUAACUAAAUCUGAACCAACAAUCAGCUUGUUGAACCAGACAUGGAGCAAGCCUAAGAUGCAAAAAGUUGCAAAGUCCCUGGCACGUUGCCCUGCCUUGUCGGUCCUGGACAUGUCUGGAGGCCAUUUAGAUGUUGAAACUCUGAGGACACUGACUGACUUUUUGCCAAAGUUCAACGUCACCAAAAAGAUCAUUGUGAAUGACAGCUUGUCUUCAGUGGAGGGUUUGAUGAUUCUGACGGCUCUGCUGUCUAAGUGUCCUGCUGUGGUGGAGCUUCAUAUCAGACUACAGAGUCCUUUCCAGGUGUCGAUAUUGUUUCCUGGAGGCAGAGAAAAACCUGCAAAUGAAACAUCUAAAGUGCUGUGUCUCAGCUGCAGUUGUCUGCUGCCUUCUCAUCUGGACAGAGUGUGGAGGAGUUUGGGAGCCUCUUCUGAUCUCACUUUGCUGGAUCUGUCCAAUAACUGUUUAGGCAACAAAGGUCUGAAGAAAGUGUUGGACUACCUGCCUUGUCUAAGUAACAUCCAGGAAGUAAAUGUCAGUAGCAAUGGGAUUGGCAUGGAAGGAGUGGUAAUGCUGGCUGGUGCAUUGUCCUCCCAUGACAACUUAACACAAAUUCACAUCAGUCAUGGAGACAGAGACCAGUUGAUUCUAAAGUUCGGCCCUCACAAAAGGGAUGACCAACAGCAGCUAAAGAUGUUCAGGAUAAACAACAGCAGCCUUAUGCCAUCAGACACAAACCGAAUCUGUGGACGAUUGGUCCUGUGUAGCUCCCAUUUUGAGUUAGAUUUGUCUCACAGCUCAUUGCCAGACAAGGCUAUUGAGAAUCUGGUCAAUAUUCUGCCAAAGAUGGGAUCACUGCAGAGACUCAAUGUCAGCCACAGCAUCACAUCCACAGCUGGAGCCUUGAUGAUGGUCAGAUGUUUGAAUGUCAGUCAGCAAGUCACAUCAGUGGAGAUCGCGCCUCAGAUUGAAUCAUUCAUUCAUUUUGCCAGUGUGAAAGCCGAACAAGCCAGCUGCAGGUUAACUCAUUGUAACCUGAACGGUGAAAACUUGCAAAGGCUGCUCGAGAUCCUACAGCAGGGUCCCCAACUGUCUGACCUGGAUUUAUCAAGCAACAAACUGGAAGAUGAAGGCGUUAAGUGUUUUCUGGAUUAUCUACAAAAGCUCAAAAUCACCAGCUAUGUGAAUUUGAGCAACAACGGGCUGAGCCAGCAGGGGCUGUUGGAUGUGGCCAGCGCACUGUGCACCUGUAACAGCGUCUCCGGUGUCGAAGUCAGUUUGGGAGCAGAGGAGAGAUGUCUCAUCUGGUUUACACAAUUUGAAGGUUGUGUAAAAACGCUGAGUGUCCGAGAGAGUAAUUUGGAACAUGACUAUCUGGUCAGAUUAGCAGAGAUCGUGUCUACCUGUCCCAGUCUGACCAAACUGGAAUUCAAGAACAAUUUGCUGCAGUCGGAUUGCAUUGAAGACUUGGUGAAACUGUUGAACAGCAGUCAGAGGGGAUUCAGCGUCAGUAUUGAGGAACGUUGGAUCAGAUCUGAGGAAGCUGUUAGUUUGGUGUGUCGUUGUCUGGAGCUCAGCAGCAACAUACACACUAUCAGGGUUCACCACAACACUUUACACCUGUCUUUGAUGAAGUCCACUGAACUGACCUCAGUCAGCCUCUUGGACUGUGCAGUCAAGGGGUACCAGCUUGCAUCUAUGACGAGCCUCAUCUCAAGGUGUUCUUCCCUGACAAAGCUGGACUUCUCCCACAACAGCCUGGGUGUAGAGGGAGUUGAGUUUCUCUGUUCUGUCCUGCCCUUGCUGCCAAAUCUCACUUGUCUCAGUAUUGGUUCCAAAGAGGCUUGUGUGACGGUGGUUGAGAAGCUCUCAGAUGCCUUGCUGCGGGUUGCAGGCAUUAAGUGCUUAAACCUAUCAGGUCAUGUGAUUAGUGACACAGCAGCCCAAAUUAUGACCAAAAUGUGCCCCCGUCUAAAAUCACUCAAUCUGUCUCAUUGUAGGUGGUCAGCUGCUGCAGGGCUGCAGCUCGUCACAGCACUUCAACUAUGUGUCAGUCUGGAAGGUCUUUGUCUGGACUCCCUACAGCUGAAUGCAGAGAGCAGUGUGUGCCUGGGACAAGCACUAAGGAAUAUCAAAAAUAUACGCAGUCUCAAGCUAAAUAAGAUUGUCACAGUGAUGGGUCCGUCACAAGCAAACGGUUUGCUAGAUCUCCUAGCUGCUAUGGAGGGACUCACACGAAUGGAGGAGAUCGAGCUGGAGAGCUGGAGGCUGGCCGAUAGAGGACUAGAGCAGCUGACCAGACUCCUUCCUAUGUGGACUGAACUCAGGAAGAUCAGUCUAUCAAAAAACCUAAUCAGCGACCAAUCUGGAGAAAAGCUACUUGAGGCUUUGAAGAGCUGUAGUCACCUGGAAGAGCUGCAUCUGUCCAGUAACAGUCUCGGGGAUCUCACUGCUGCCAGGAUGGCCCAGGUUCUACCUUCACUGACGCACAUCACUGUGUUGGAUAUUUCAGAGAACAGGAUUGGAUAUGAAGGGUCGGUGAGUCUGUCCAAAGCAAUAAUGUGCAUGAAGAACCUCAUCAAGAUUCAUCUGACCUCUAUUGGGACUCCAGAGCUGUGUGCUGUAGCUUCCAGUUUGGCCCACUGUCCCCUCCUACAGGAUGUGGGUCUGGGAUGGAAUAAUUGUGACGAUGAAGUGGCAGUGGAGCUGGCCAGAGUUAUGCCUCUCUGUCCGAAGCUGAAAAGAAUAGAUCUGGAGUCAAACACUGUGAGUGUUUUUGGAGCGGAGGCCCUGGUUAGAGCCUUACAGUCCUGUCCUGCUCUGCAGCUCAUCAGGCUGUGGAGGAACAAAGUCUCCCUCAGUGAGGCGCAGAGGCUCAGUCUGAGGGACAGGAGGCUGAAUUUCUCAUCCAUCUAAUGUGAUCCGUAUUGUUGGACGAUGUAAGCGCCAGGGCAAAGUAACAUUCAAGUUCAUCAGAAUCAUCAGAGGUCAACCACUGCUACAGCCAGUGUUGGAAAUCAAGGAGAGCAAAGGAAAAGUGUCCCAAGUAAUCUGAGAAUACCCUCUCCCUGUUUUUUUAAAGUCUCCCCAAAUUUUUUAGAGAUAAGUAUCUCCAUUUAUCAACAAGAGCCUCUCUAGGGAACAAUGUGAAUAAAAAAUACUAAGCCAACACAAACAGAGUUAAGGGAAAACCUCCUCGCUAAAUGGAAGGAGAAGGGUAUUAUAUGUCAGCUACUGAGAAACAACCACAGUGUGUAUUGUAAAGUUAUUAUAUGAAUGAUAUAGACAUAUUACAUAAAUAUAUUGCAUUUAGGCCUAUAUAAAGAAAUCUCCUGCUUCCUUUUUACCUGGCUCAAAGGCUGGAUUAACACAGGCCUUUUUGGUGUAACAAAGAAAUCUGUGACCCAUUACAAUGUUAAAACACUACUGUGUUUGUCCAAAGCGGCAAAGGUAAAUAUGAUUUAUGUGACGGGGGACUGAUGGAUCGUAGUACUUAAUACUGUCACUAUUGGCUCUGCUAUCCCACACUGCCAUGAACCUAGAGGUAAAACAUUAUUUGCUGUCCAGUAAGUUUCAUGUGAGAAAAUACUUACUAUAUUUAACGCUGAUACACUGAGUCACUUUGCACUGUAAUGUGUUUACAAUGAUUAGAGGCCACAUUAGUGAAAACACAAUAACUCAUCAACUAACAGGAAGAAUGGUCAUUACAGGUUGUGGUCUCUAUCUAGUUUGCAUAUUGAUUUCUGCUGUUUUCAUGGAAAGCUUACCCAAGUUGUUUGUUUACACAAGGGAAUUAUGGCUUAUACUAUUUCAACUGAACAAGAAUUGUGAAAACCAUAAACUUUGAGAAUAAUAGAUUCUAGUUUCUUGUUGUGCUGAUAAUGCUACAAUGAUGCUGUUAUUCUGACACACGAUGACCUUAUUUCCUUAUCCAUUCCUCUACGUGUUUCUUUUGAAUUCAUUAUUUAUGAUUUGCUUUAAAUUUAAACUAUUCAAAGAUUGUCUACAAAGACACUGGAUUUAAUGAGCAUACACCUGUGCCCUGUGGCACUGUAGCUCAUCUGUUAAGUGUUUUUUCUUUUUGAGGUUUUUGAUCAGGUUUGACUCCUCACAUGACAUUGCCUCUAUUUUUUUAUUUUUUCUUGCACUGUCUUGCACUAAGAUUUCAAUUGAGAUAUAAA